Molecule: long non-coding RNA, 1558 nt
Filed under: Marmota monax (woodchuck)
Lineage: Eukaryota; Metazoa; Chordata; Mammalia; Rodentia; Sciuridae
Source: RNAcentral
CGUGACCCAGCCAAUCAGCCUCAAGAGCAGGAGGAUUGUGGGAGGUGGAGAGAAGCUUGUGUGGGAGAGAGAGGCUUGUGGAAAGCCGGUGGUGGCAGUUGAGGCUCUGAGGGUUUUUCCUGAGAGGCUGUUUUGUUUAGCAUGUGUGGUUCUAAAAAUAAAGUUAGUUUCUUUUGACAAGUGGCUCCUGAUUGUGCCCAGCCAGACUGCGGCAUUUAAACAAGAGUGUCACAGCUGCUGACUCUGAUUUUCUGUUUUAAUGUUUGUACAGUUGUCUCCCCACAUCCAUGCUUUUAUUAUGUAGUUUCAAUUACCCACAGUCAACCACAGACUGAAAAUGUUAAAUGGAAAAUUUCAGGAAUAAACAAUUUCCAAGUUUUAAAUUGUGCACCAUUCUGAGUAGUGUGGUGACACAUGCACCAUUUCAUUUCCUCCAGCUUGAGAAAUGAAUCAUCCCUUUGUACAUAUAUCCACAGGGUAUAUGCUACCCACCUACUAAUCACUUACUGGAUGUCUCAUUUCUCAGAUCGACUCUAGGGAUAUUUCAGUGCUUGUCUUCAAAUUCUUAUUUUACUGAGUAAUAGCUCCAAGGUACAAAAGUUUUGAUGCUGACAGUUUGGAUAUAUCAAAGAGAAGUCAUAAAGCACUUCAUUAAAGUAUUAUCUUUAUUAUUUUGUGACACAAGAAAAAGGGUGAUUACAGUACAAUAUUUUGAGAGAGUAUAAAAAGCAUAUUCAUAUAACUUUUAUUAUAUUGUUAUAAUUGUUCUAUUUUAUCAUUAAUUAUUGUUAUUUCCUAUUGUGCCUAAUUUAUAAAUUAAACUUUUUUUCAUAGUGUGUAUUUUUAGGAAAAAUUAUACUCUAUAUAGGGUUCAGUACUAUCCAUGGUUUCAAGCAUUCAUUUUUAGGUAUUCCCCACAGAAAAGGGAGACAGUUAUAAUAUAGUGAAACUGUUUCUAUGAGGUUAUUGAGCAUGAACAAUUCAAUCAAUUCAUCCCUAUCUUUAUCCUUCAAGUUCACCCAGAGGACGGAGCCAAUACUUUGAAAUGAACCAUGUCACUAUGUAGUAUUGCUGUCAUUACAUUGUGAGAAUUUUGUUGGUUUUGCGUUUUCUUCUAAUGUUUUAGUCCAAGUCACACUUUUUCUAGACAACCUACCUGACUGUAGUGGGUCACAGAGCUGGAAAUUUGCAUUUCUUUUACUUAUUCUUAUUCUACAUUGUCUUUUGUAGGCAUCCAUAUCUCUUUCUGUGAUCUCGGAGAUGUUUUCCAUUUUAAAAAACUGUCCAUGUAUAGAAUUGCUUUUUCACUUUUUUUGUGGAUUGUGUCAUAUUCAUCAUCCAUUACUAAAAAUCAGAGCUGGAACUAAGAACCUGUAGUAGGCUUCAUAAUUCAUUUCUGUCAUUAUUUGGUCACAAUUAACCUUUGAUUACCCUUUCUACCAGGAGGGACUCAGAAUAAAUUUCAAAUAAAAAUAUAUGCUGUUUUCACAGUAGGCCCUCCAUAUCUGUGGGUUCUACAUUUGUGCAUUUAGGCAACAUUGAUGGAAAAUAUUUUUUG